CAGUAGCCGCGGUAAUACGUAGGUGGCAAGCGUUGUCCGGAAUUAUUGGGCGUAAAGGGCUCGCAGGCGGUUUCUUAAGUCUGAUGUGAAAGCCCCCGGCUCAACCGGGGAGGGUCAUUGGAAACUGGGAAACUUGAGUGCAGAAGAGGAGAGUGGAAUUCCACGUGUAGCGGUGAAAUGCGUAGAGAUGUGGAGGAACACCAGUGGCGAAGGCGACUCUCUGGUCUGUAACUGACGCUGAGGAGCGAGAGCGUGGGGAGCGAACAAGAUUAGAUACCCCCGUAGUCCCUGUCUCUUAUAC
Molecule: ribosomal RNA, 301 nt
Filed under: uncultured bacterium
Lineage: Bacteria
Description: partial 16S ribosomal RNA
Rfam family: Bacterial small subunit ribosomal RNA
Source: RNAcentral